AGAGUUUGAUCCUGGCUCAGGACGAACGCUGGCGGCACGCUUAACACAUGCAAGUCGAACGAGAGAAGAGGAGCUUGCUUUUCUGAUCUAGUGGCGGACGGGUGAGUAACACGUGAGCAAUCUGCCUUUCAGAGGGGGAUACCGAUUGGAAACGAUCGUUAAUACCGCAUAACAUAAUUGAACCGCAUGAUUUGAUUAUCAAAAAUUUAUCGCUGAAAGAUGAGCUCGCGUCUGAUUAGCUAGUUGGUAAGGUAACGGCUUACCAAGGCGACGAUCAGUAGCCGGACUGAGAGGUUGAUCGGCCACAUUGGGACUGAGACACGGCCCAGACUCCUACGGGAGGCAGCAGUGGGGAAUAUUGCACAAUGGAGGAAACUCUGAUGCAGCGAUGCCGCGUGAGGGAAGAAGGUUUUAGGAUUGUAAACCUCUGUCUUCAGGGACGAAAAAAGACGGUACCUGAGGAGGAAGCUCCGGCUAACUACGUGCCAGCAGCCGCGGUAAUACGUAGGGAGCGAGCGUUGUCCGGAAUUACUGGGUGUAAAGGGAGCGUAGGCGGGAUCGCAAGUCAGAUGUGAAAACUAUGGGCUUAACCCAUAAACUGCAUUUGAAACUGUGGUUCUUGAGUGAAGUAGAGGUAAGCGGAAUUCCUAGUGUAGCGGUGAAAUGCGUAGAUAUUAGGAGGAACAUCAGUGGCGAAGGCGGCUUACUGGGCUUUAACUGACGCUGAGGCUCGAAAGCGUGGGGAGCAAACAGGAUUAGAUACCCUGGUAGUCCACGCCGUAAACGAUGAUUACUAGGUGUGGGGGGACUGACCCCUUCCGUGCCGCAGCAAACGCAAUAAGUAAUCCACCUGGGGAGUACGACCGCAAGGUUGAAACUCAAAGGAAUUGACGGGGGCCCGCACAAGCAGUGGAGUAUGUGGAUUAAUUCGAAGCAACGCGAAGAACCUUACCAGGUCUUGACAUCGUAUGCAUAGCUCAGAGAUGAGUGAAAUCUCUUCGGAGACAUAUAGACAGGUGGUGCAUGGUUGUCGUCAGCUCGUGUCGUGAGAUGUUGGGUUAAGUCCCGCAACGAGCGCAACCCUUACUGUUAGUUGCUACGCAAGAGCACUCUAGCAGGACUGCCGUUGACAAAACGGAGGAAGGUGGGGAUGACGUCAAAUCAUCAUGCCCCUUAUGACCUGGGCCUCACACGUACUACAAUGGCUGUCAACAGAGGGAAGCAAAGCCGCGAGGUGGAGCGAACCCCUAAAAGCAGUCUUAGUUCGGAUUGUAGGCUGCAACCCGCCUACAUGAAGUCGGAAUUGCUAGUAAUCGCAGAUCAGCAUGCUGCGGUGAAUACGUUCCCGGGCCUUGUACACACCGCCCGUCACGCCAUGGGAGUCGGUAACACCCGAAGCCUGUAGUCUAACCGCAAGGAGGACGCAGUCGAAGGUGGGAUUGAUGACUGGGGUGAAGUCGUAACAAGGUA
RNAcentral lists this ribosomal RNA (1470 nucleotides) under metagenome. Its description in RNAcentral is "bacterial SSU rRNA". It matches the Rfam family "Bacterial small subunit ribosomal RNA". The record is from RNAcentral.